AGUAAAUAGAUACCCAGGUAGUCCACGCCGUAAACGAUGUCGACUUGGAGGUUGUGCCCUUGAGGCGUGGCUUCCGGAGCUAAACGCGUUUAGUCGACCGCCUGGGGAGUACGGCCGCAAGGUUAAAACUCAAAUGAAUUGACGGGGGCCCGCACAAGCAGUGGAGCAUGUGGUUUAAUUCGAUGCAACGCGAAGAACCUUACCUACUCUUGACAUCCAGAGAACUUAGCAGAGAUGCUUUGGUGCCUUCGGGAACUCUGAGACAGGUGCUGCAUGGCUGUCGUCAGCUCGUGUUGUGAAAUGUUGGGUUAAGUCCCGCAACGAGCGCAACCCUUAUCCUUUGUUGCCAGCGGUUAGGCCGGGAACUCAAAGGAGACUGCCAGUGAUAAACUGGAGGAAGGUGGGGAUGACGUCAGGUCAUCAUGGCCCUUACGAGUAGGGCUACACACGUGCUACAAUGGCGCAUACAAAGAGAAGCGACCUCGCGAGAGCAAGCGGACCUCAUAAAGUGCGUCGUAGUCCGGAUUGGA
This 530-nucleotide ribosomal RNA is filed under the name uncultured bacterium. RNAcentral's name for it is "bacterial SSU rRNA". It matches the Rfam family "Bacterial small subunit ribosomal RNA", at positions 774 to 1302 of the family's 1533-position model. The record is from RNAcentral.